This 404-nucleotide long non-coding RNA is filed under the name Phascolarctos cinereus (koala). RNAcentral's name for it is "lncRNA (ENSPCIG00000031325.1)". Lineage: Eukaryota; Metazoa; Chordata; Mammalia; Diprotodontia; Phascolarctidae. The record is from RNAcentral.
AUCCAGCUUACCAUCUCUGACAUUUGGUCUUCUCUGUCUUGCAUUGGUGUCUCAGAGGAGGUAGAACUUAGGACCAUCUUUUGCCCCCACAGAGCAGAAAAGGAUGCUGUAAAAAAUUCACAUCUGGAAGCUUUCUCUACUUUAUUCACCAUGGUUGAUGCCACUGGAUUACCUUUUGAAUUCAGGUUUGCAACAGAAAAUAAGAUGCAUAGAUUAUGGACUAGCACACCUGCACAACUUCACGUGAUGUAGGGAGUGAGGUGAGAGGACUUUCUGAGUGAUCCUUGGAAGGACCCAGAAUACUCUCCAAGGAUAUACUGGCACAAACAACCUCUGCUCUAUGUACAUUAACAGUUGGAGUACAAUGAUACCAAACUGUGAAGAAAAUUUCCUUUAAUAAAUGC